UGCCAGCAGCCGCGGUAAUACGGAGGGGGUUAGCGUUGUUCGGAAUUACUGGGCGUAAAGCGCGCGCAGGCGGCCAGGUAAGUCGAAUGUGAAAGCCCCCGGCUCAACUGGGGAGGGUCGUUCGAUACUGCUUGGCUUGAAGAUAGGAGAGGGAAGUGGAAUUUCAGGUGUAGUGGUGAAAUGCGUAGAUAUCUGAAGGAACACCAGUGGCGAAGGCGACUUUCUGGCCUAUUCUUGACGCUGAGGCGCGAAAGCUAGGGGAGCGAACGGGAUUAGAUA
Molecule: ribosomal RNA, 279 nt
Filed under: uncultured bacterium
Lineage: Bacteria
Description: partial 16S ribosomal RNA
Rfam family: Bacterial small subunit ribosomal RNA
Source: RNAcentral